Molecule: long non-coding RNA, 1583 nt
Organism: Humulus lupulus (European hop)
Lineage: Eukaryota; Viridiplantae; Streptophyta; Magnoliopsida; Rosales; Cannabaceae
Exons: 4
Source: RefSeq, a predicted model, not a curated record
UUAUAUUUUGGGCAUAAAAUACAUUCAUAAAAGUUAAGGUUUGGUCAAAAAUAAUAAACCUAAAAGAAAAUGGAAAUUUUAGGGCAUUUUGUGUUAAAUGCCUAAUUUUGCCGAAAUGGGAAAUUUUAUUCCAUGAAUGGACCUUAGGUUAAAUUUUAUUAUGUGAUUAAUUAAAUUAAAUGUGAGAGACAUUUAAUUUAAUUAAUUAAUGUUAAGUUUGGUGAUUAAAACUUAAUAAGAGUGAAAAAAGGUGUCAAAAGUCAAUUUGGACUUUUCUUCUUAUAAACCUUUAUUAACCUUUAUAAAAAAUAAAAAAAAAUAAAAAAAAAUUAAUGGUCACAUAUAUGGAAAAGGGUGGCUGGCCAUGUGCUAUUUUAGAGUGGUGUGAACCCAAUUUUAUAAAAUUCAAAUCCCAUUUAAUUAAGAAGUCAAGUGGGCAAGUGGGUAGAAAAGCACUCAAGUGUUUUGUGAUAUUUUGAAGAGUUGUGUGAGCCAUUCUAACCCCCAAAUCCGACCACUCUCCCUCCCUCAUUCACUCUCAUCUGAUUUUUGAAGACUCUCUCAAGUGUUCUCUCCAUUUUGAACCCCAAGAACACCAAAGAAACUUGGAAGCUAAGUCUUGGUCUAGGAAGGGUUUUCCCUAAGUUGGUUAGGGUUUUUGAAAGGUUUUGAAGGAGUCAAAGCUUAUAGGAAGGUCCAAACCUUAAGCAAGAACACCAAAGAGUAUUGGCUAAGCGUAACUGGACUGAACGUUGGAGGGUGAAAACCUGCUGAGCGCUAAGGACUCCAAGUAAGAACAAGGGCAAGGCAGAGCAGUGAGCGCUGGAGUCUUCCUUGCAAAUGUACAUGUGGACCGAACUUUUGGGAAGCCUUUUUAUUUUUGGAAAUGUUGUGUAAUUUUCCUAAACUAGGCUCACUCUAAUCUUUAUAAAACAUGUUUGUAACUAAAUGUUAAGUAUGGCCAUACGACUUUUUAAAAAGUUUUUUUUUCUUUGGGUUUUUGAGACAUUUUGUUAAAUGAAAACAUUUAUAUUUCCGCAUUAUUGAGUCUUGAAAAUCCGGGUCGUUACAGUUGGUAUCAGAGCUCGAGUUGAGCCGGUUCUGUAGACAACCCACAUGUACAUUUCGCAAAGAUAGACCGGCACUCACUGUAAGUACUGUUUCUUCCUUUAGUGUGUUGUUUUCUUUUUAUUCACCUCAAUUCUAUAAAUUGUAGGUUAUGGUUGAUAUACCUGAGAUAGGUGACCCUGUGAUAGGAAAACUACCCAUGAUCCCUUCGCCUAGAAUCGAUUUUCUAUAGACUCUUUAACGAUGAGAAUUCCUUGCCACUUUGAGUACGAAUGACGACAUUGGCGUGCCAUUUGGCAAUGUACGCAAUACAUGACAGAAGUCUUCAGUAGAGCCAGAGGAGGAUCUCGAGCAGUCUGACGAGGAUACCGACAUAGAGCUGGAUAUGUUGAUGGACAACUUAGAUUAGGUUAUGCUGUGAGGGUCUUGUUGAUACUUUUUGUAAAGACCUUGCAAACCUACUAGGUUGUAGGACUUUGGUGUAGUUGUAGCUGAGAACCCGCCAAUGGAGGAAG